ACAUAGGACUUUUGCUGCAACAUUUGACAGUCUUCCUUCAAAUUGUCACUUAAUUAGACAACACGACUCCAUCCCCCAGUACAGAAGAAAGCGUGAUGAUUACUGAUGACGAUGAUGAUGACGACGACGAGGAAGAUGCUACUUCAAGUGGUGACGAACGCACCACUCGCACCACUGUGAAGAUUUCCCCUACUCCAAGACAACUUUCGGAGAGUGAGCUGUUCACCAUUAACAAGAAACGCCGACAGAGGAGGGGAUUUUCAUGAUAACUCAUGUAUAAAAACGAAUCCGUGUUAAACAUGUGUGUAAAACAAGGGUAGUUUAACCUUUAAAAAAAAAAGAUAAGUUAAGAAUAUAUGUUGGGGUGUGAUAGUGGGAAUUCGAAGCCUUCAAGAGAGGAAAAACUGUUUGCUUUAGGUAAUCUGCCUGAAGUCUCUCUCAAGCACUUUUCGUGUUCAGAUGUUCGCCUGUUUGGCUUUCAAAUUUGUCCCUGAUCAUGUUGUGAAAAUAAAUACUGUGGUUUGCUUCUGUGGACCUUAUAAGGUCGUUUACCAGCUCGCCUAUAAACAGUUGAAACAUGUGCAAUGUUCCUGAAAAAGGUAAUUAUGCGUACAAUUUUGAAGUCAAGCAAGGGCUUUAAUAUAUUGAACACCAAAAUGUUUCGAAAAGAAUUCUAGCAGGUUUAGAUUUGUUUCUUCGUUUUGAUGAUGUAGAAUAUUUAGUAGCUUUUUGGAAGUUUUAGUACAUAAAGUUUCUUAUUAAGUUACCUAUAUCUUUUAAUACAACUUUUAUUAAAUCAAUACAGACAAUGCUAAACAAUGCUGUACUGCAAAUAAGAGUAGUUCUUGGAUGACUGAUUUCUUUACUAUCUUGUA
Orbicella faveolata is the source of this 875-nucleotide long non-coding RNA. The record is from RefSeq and is a predicted model, not a curated record. Lineage: Eukaryota; Metazoa; Cnidaria; Anthozoa; Scleractinia; Merulinidae.